GAUUCUUUUACAAUGACUUUUCAUGCUCCCCAGAAUUUAGAGUUAUAUCUUUGUGCUAAAACAGAAAUAGAUACAGCUGAUGAUAGACUGUCUCCUCCUUCAAAGUCUUUAAAGAUAGCAGGAUAUGGGGAUUAUCAAGAAUCCAAAACCUCUUUUCUCUGUUCAUGUACACAUUUACACCACAAAUGAAAGCAGUGAAAUAAGUGGCAUUUGUGGAAGGAAGCUCUUCUUCUUGUCUCUCAUGUAAGUAACUGCACAUCCUGCAGGCUGCCUGUGUGACAUGGAGAAGAUGCCUGCGGAUGCCACAGAAAGGUACCUAAAGAAGUGUGAUCAUUUUAUCAUGAUAGAGGCCGUGCAGCACAUGACAUCCAUGGCGAUGAAAACGUUGCAGAAGAGGCGCCCGAAGAUCCACUCGCCGCCGAUGAGGUCGGUCACGCUUACGAAGGGCAUGACAGCCAGGGCCACCGAGAGGUC
This is a long non-coding RNA of Pezoporus occidentalis (night parrot), 474 nucleotides long. RefSeq lists it as uncharacterized. The record is from RefSeq and is a predicted model, not a curated record. The transcript is spliced from 3 exons. NCBI's taxonomy places the organism in Eukaryota, Metazoa, Chordata, Aves, Psittaciformes, Psittacidae.